RNAcentral lists this transfer RNA (82 nucleotides) under Romeriopsis navalis LEGE 11480. It matches the Rfam family "tRNA". Rfam says of the family: Transfer RNA (tRNA) molecules are approximately 80 nucleotides in length. Their secondary structure includes four short double-helical elements and three loops (D, anti-codon, and T loops). Further hydrogen bonds mediate the characteristic L-shaped molecular structure. tRNAs have two regions of fundamental functional importance: the anti-codon, which is responsible for specific mRNA codon recognition, and the 3' end, to which the tRNAs corresponding amino acid is attached (by aminoacyl-tRNA synthetases). tRNAs cope with the degeneracy of the genetic code in two manners: having more than one tRNA (with a specific anti-codon) for a particular amino acid; and 'wobble' base-pairing, i.e. permitting non-standard base-pairing at the 3rd anti-codon position. Lineage: Bacteria; Bacillati; Cyanobacteriota; Cyanophyceae; Leptolyngbyales; Leptolyngbyaceae. The record is from Rfam by way of RNAcentral.
GGGUCGGUGCCCGAGUGGUUAAUGGGGGUGGACUGUAAAUCCACUGGCUACGCCUACGUUGGUUCGAAUCCAACCCGGCCCA